This 242-nucleotide ribosomal RNA is filed under the name uncultured bacterium. Its description in RNAcentral is "partial 16S ribosomal RNA". It matches the Rfam family "Bacterial small subunit ribosomal RNA", at positions 100 to 334 of the family's 1533-position model. The record is from RNAcentral.
CGAGGUGGGCGGGACGGGUGAGUAAUGUCGUAGGAACCGCCCGAUGGAGGGGGAUAACUACUGGAAACGGUAGCUAAUACCGCAUAACGUCGCAAGACCAAAGAGGGGGACCUUCGGGCCUCUUGCCAUCGGAUGUGCCCAGAUGGGAUUAGCUAGUAGGUGGGGUAACGGCUCACCUAGGCGACGAUCCCUAGCUGGUCUGAGAGGAUGACCAGCCACACUGGAACUGAGACACGGUCCAG